UACUCACUGAUAAGUCGCUAUUAGU
Molecule: unclassified non-coding RNA, 25 nt
Filed under: Mus musculus (house mouse)
Lineage: Eukaryota; Metazoa; Chordata; Mammalia; Rodentia; Muridae
Description: oocyte_clustered_small_RNA9033
Source: RNAcentral